AAAAAAAGAAAGGAGACGAGGCUCGGGCUAGUAACGGGAGAAAGGAGGGAAAGAAUAAGACACAACGAAAGAGCUAGUUGAGCCUCGUUCCCGCUAAUGAGGAGAAGAAGGAGACGGUGUGUGUGAGGGAGAAUAUUUUGCGCCGAGGUUUCUGGUGUGCCCCAAGCCUACAUGCUGCCGCCACGCAUGCUGCUACUGCUGCUGCUGUAGAGGGCGCUCGGGACUUCGCUGCUGCCAGAGGACGUGCUGUUGCACAUGGACAUGUCCUCAGGACUGGUUUCUCCAUCUCAUAUCACCUUUCUUCACUGAACAGAGGGUUUGAGGAAAGUGCUGCUAACCAUUUCUGAAUUUCCAAGGAUUAGUGAGUACAACGACAUGGUACCAUAACUGAGUUUUACAAAAGCCCAGGU
Lates calcarifer (barramundi perch) is the source of this 410-nucleotide long non-coding RNA. RefSeq lists it as uncharacterized. The transcript is spliced from 3 exons. The record is from RefSeq and is a predicted model, not a curated record. Lineage: Eukaryota; Metazoa; Chordata; Actinopteri; Centropomidae.